GGAUUGUGGCUCAGUGGCAGAGUGCUUGCCUCACAUGUAUGAGGCACUGGGUUCAAUCCUCAGCACCA
This 68-nucleotide transfer RNA is filed under the name Marmota monax (woodchuck). RNAcentral describes it as "tRNA.Val". The stretch from base 5 to 65 matches the Rfam family "tRNA", at positions 6 to 65 of the family's 71-position model. From Rfam's summary of the family: Transfer RNA (tRNA) molecules are approximately 80 nucleotides in length. Their secondary structure includes four short double-helical elements and three loops (D, anti-codon, and T loops). The record is from RNAcentral. Lineage: Eukaryota; Metazoa; Chordata; Mammalia; Rodentia; Sciuridae.